UUCCUUCCUCUCUGCCGUAGUAUUUAAACUCAAUCCUUGCCAGAGGUACAUCUUUUGUUAGUCCUGACUCAGGCCUGCUGACCUGGCUUGCUAGAUUGAUCUUGGACCUGCUUCAUCACUUAUAGGUUUCUUUGGCCACCAUUGACUGUAAGAGGUUACAGAUCUUCCUUACUCUGUUUGCUUAGAUGCCAUAGAGGAUUAUUCUGUUUGUUUCUAAAGCAAACUUCAAAGAUGAAAAAUUUGGAAAAAUCAGAGAAAGCAGUGGAUGUACAAGGCUAAUUCAGAACAUCCUUUCUGGAAUUACCACUGCAACCACUGGAGCAAAUAUGAUGAAGAGAAUUACCAGCACUGUUACUCAAUAUAAAUGGCUCAGAAAAUGCCUUUCCUCCCUCUGUAAAAUAUCUAUCUCAAACGUUUAAAAUAAAUAAAAUAAUGGAGCUAGCUGAGUAAUCAGCCUUAAAAUUUGUUACAUAGUAUAACACCAUCUCUUGUUUGCAGGUAUUAUAAAAAGUUUUUUAUGGCACUAAACACCUGGUGUUAUGUUAUUUUUGUAAAAAUAUAUCUUCAUGUAAUUGAAAUCAAUGUUGACUCAGUCAACUUGAGUUCAUGCAUAUGUCAAUCAUAGAAUUGUUCUGCCAAGACACUACUUACUAAACGGAGGACAGGCAGACACAAGGGAAGAAAGGAAGGGAAGAAGGAUUUUUAAACAUGCUGCAAAAAAAUAUUGUGACUACGUUCAAUUGUUCAAUGCAGUUUUUUAGAGAGGCAGAACUCUCCUAUUGUGGCUUGGAAAGCUGUUCACUUUCUGCUUCUUUCAGUGAAGUACAAAUUCUGUGUUUGAACAUUCUGAAUAUUUGAACUCAAAUUAUAAGGGAUUUGUAGUUAUACAAAAGAGCUUGAGAAAUGACCUAAGAUCUCAGUUGAGAACCUGUAAGAGGCUAUUUAUUAUCAUGUACAUCUACAUUCACAUCUCUCCUUCCCUGUCAUUUGGUUCAUUUGCAUGUCUGACUGUAGGGCUUAUGAGCAUGGGAGAACAAUCAAAGCCCAAAUAAAGACAACUACUUCCAAUCAGUGAGCUAAAUGUUUAUAUUCCAUUGAAGGCACAUUCAUUUAAUACCAGCAUAUUUGACUAACUGCUUCAUGGCAAUUCAGCAAGUCUCAAAGGUGGAAGGGAAUCGACAGAAAAGCACUAAAUAAAAGAUGGUUGCAAGACGGUAGCAGCAUCUCAAAUCAAGAAGGUCUGCAACUGGCCUCUUAACUUGCUUUUGUAAAAGUGAGGAUAAAUUCUUUUUUUCUUUGUACAGACUUCUAACUGAUGAGAAAUUACCUUGCCUCAGUCAUUGUCCUCUUUGAACCAUUGAUCCAUCUGUACUGGCUGACCAACAGCAGUAAUAAAGCAUGGAGGGCAUAAUCACUAUGUGCUUAAAUAAGUAUUUAUUCAUUGAUAUAAAAUCAAAUUUGAAUUAAUACUAAUAUUAAAUUUUAUUAUUAUAAAAUUGAAAUAUAAUUUUGUCAAUGUAUGCAAUGCCUAAAACAUAUAAUACUGUAAAUCCCACAAGAGCAAAUAUUUUAAAAUGAUACAGGAUGCUGAGAAAGGACACUUCAGUGUUAACUUUAAGUACCUACCUUGAGGUCAAGAAAGUCCCUUACUAUGGCUUGCUGAAGAGAAGAAUGAGUUGUAAAUCCAUCUGCGUGCAUACUUGGACUACUGCUAGUGAAUAAUUAGGUCUGCACAACAAUCACAGACUCAUUGGGCUACAGGGACACCUUUAAGUGCAGCACUUCCCCAGCAGUAUGGGGGAUAUAAACCUGUAAAGGGAAUAUAAAGUCUGUAAAGCACAAAUUUUGAUAAAAUAGUUUCAAAUGCGUGUUUCUGUUAUUCUGAUACCCAUUUCUGCACAAAUUUCUUUACACUACUUCUGCUGUGAAGCCACCAGACUUCUCAUGCACGUGAAUAGAGGGCCAAGGUCAAGAUUUGUUCUAUAAAUACAGAGCUGUUACUGUGAUUGCUGACAACAGAAGCUGUUGUGCAGACUGUCAGCAAGGCAUACAAACUACUGCCAGAAGCCAGCUCUCCACAGCUGGGGGAGACCUGAGGGCCAGGCACUGAAGAGGCCAAGUCACACAGCCAAUUCUCCAGACUUUUCUCUAGUACUUAUGGUCUUUUUAACAUGAAUGGAAUAGAUAGGUCCUUAUUUUGUAACACUUACAUAAAGACUUUCAACAUUAGGAUCACGAAACGUUCUUAUAUGAUCAAGGAAUCCCCUUCCAGCAAGGCAUGCAAAUAGUAACAGAGGCACCCACCUUGUGUUAGUGAGACACUUUGUAUAGCUGUAUCUUAAAAGUUGAAACACAACUCAAAACUUCAUCUGUGAAUGCUUUGUCACAUCUGAAAUCCAUAUCAGUAUUCUAUCUGUUUUAUUUUAGUACUUAUUCUGGUAUCACAAUGACAGUGUAUUUUGCAAGGCCAGAUAGCUGGUCUUUGUGUUAAUUUUAAUGAAGUGAUCUAUAAGGUCUAACAGGUUGUAGUUAUUACUGGACUUAUAAAACAUUUUGUAGUGUUUAUACUCACUGAAUACAGAUAAUGGAUACUGAAGUAAUGCCCAAACUAUUAAGUAUAUCAAUAAAAUGCAGCAUCAAAAAAUAAAUGAAAAAUGACCUUUGUUUUAUAAGUACUGCUUUUUUGCAGUUUAAAAUAAAAUAGUCUAACCUAUGAAAGAAGUCUAUCAAGAGCUAUUAAAGGCAAAGCUGAAGACAAAGUUUUCAUGUAAGAAGAUAUUGAAUUCCAAAUAGCUGGAAACUGAGAGAGUACACAGGAAAGACUUGCAUCAUAAAUUUCUCUGUUCUGGUACUUUUUUCCCUAAGCAUUCACAACUGAAUAUUUUCAGAAACAAGAUACUAGGCUGAAUGAAUCAUGUAGAGCUGUUCCAUUAUAUUCUUUGGCAGAAUAAAUCAGUCUUAAAGAGAUAAUUUUAACCUUUUUUAAAAUCCAGUCUUCCCUGACAUCAUUUGUUACACAAUUUGUUACAGCAGAUGAAAGCAACUGCUUGGUUUGAACCUACAGAAGAAUGUAAAUAAACGAGUUUUGUAAUUAAUUCACCCAGAGAUAUAGCCAGUAUAUUGGACUGAAAAUGUGUUUUGUGAAACAUGCAGAUACCACAAAUAACACAAAUACACACACAAAACCUUUUGUUUUCCUAUUAUUCCCGCUUUUUUAGUAUGAAUGCCAGGUUGUAGAGUAGUUUUUGUUGCCAGUUUGUGAUGUCAUACAUCACAUAUGAGGACACCGUAGAACAGAGACCCUACCUACUUGUAUUGCAUAGUGGUGGUAAGUGGUGAUGGAGUCUUUGUAUUUUCUUUCUCUUUACUGAACCUUGCAGGUUCUCCUAACAGGAGCAUCCAAGGCACAGGUCUGGUAGAUUUGUGAUGUUUUUUUUUGGUGUUUCCUACAGCAGUGAUACUUUAUGUCUGCUAGUAAUUAGUUAGCAUUACUCUGGCACUGCAUAUUACAGGGGAAGUUUUAGAAGAGGAGCUGAAGCGAACAGAUUCUCGGGUACCUCUAAAUAAUGUUAGUUAAUUAAUUGACCUUCAUAUCACAUAAUAUGGCUGGAAGAAUGUUAACAGAGUAAAACAGCUAAUCACUUUCACCGUAUCAUCUGUAUAGUGAAAGACCACUGCAAAAAUAAUUAAAUAAAAACUUAAUAUG
Molecule: long non-coding RNA, 3706 nt
Organism: Cygnus olor (mute swan)
Lineage: Eukaryota; Metazoa; Chordata; Aves; Anseriformes; Anatidae
Exons: 4
Source: RefSeq, a predicted model, not a curated record